RNAcentral lists this long non-coding RNA (210 nucleotides) under Homo sapiens (human). Its description in RNAcentral is "HSALNT0231873". The record is from RNAcentral. Lineage: Eukaryota; Metazoa; Chordata; Mammalia; Primates; Hominidae.
GUUCCAAUUCCAGGCCAUCACCACGAAGAACAGCCAUAGGACAUACAUCAGGUCUGUGGGGAAGGUUGACGGGGACGCUAGAGCAUCAGCCAGGCAAGGCUCUUCACCAGUUGGAUCAGGACACAGAAACUGCAGUCGACUACUCUUUUUGAGCUCAACUGAGGAAGACGGGCUGGAGAAAAUGAGGCUCUUUUUUUUUUUUUUUUUUUU